GACGAACGCUGGCGGCGUGCCUAAUACAUGCAAGUAGAACGCUGAAGGAGGAGCUUGCUUCUCCGGAUGAGUUGCGAACGGGUGAGUAACGCGUAGGUAACCUGCCUGGUAGCGGGGGAUAACUAUUGGAAACGAUAGCUAAUACCGCAUAAGAGUAGAUGUUGCAUGACAUUUGCUUAAAAGGUGCAAAUGCAUCACUACCAGAUGGACCUGCGUUGUAUUAGCUAGUUGGUGGGGUAACGGCUCACCAAGGCGACGAUACAUAGCCGACCUGAGAGGGUGAUCGGCCACACUGGGACUGAGACACGGCCCAGACUCCUACGGGAGGCAGCAGUAGGGAAUCUUCGGCAAUGGACGGAAGUCUGACCGAGCAACGCCGCGUGAGUGAAGAAGGUUUUCGGAUCGUAAAGCUCUGUUGUAAGAGAAGAACGAGUGUGAGAGUGGAAAGUUCACACAGUGACGGUACUUAACCAGAAAGGGACGGCUAACUACGUGCCAGCAGCCGCGGUAAUACGUAGGUCCCGAGCGUUGUCCGGAUUUAUUGGGCGUAAAGCGAGCGCAGGCGGUUAGAUAAGUCUGAAGUGAAAGGCAGUGGCUCAACCAUUGUAGGCUUUGGAAACUGUUUAACUUGAGUGCAGAAGGGGAGAGUGGAAUUCCAUGUGUAGCGGUGAAAUGCGUAGAUAUAUGGAGGAACACCGGUGGCGAAAGCGGCUCUCUGGUCUGUAACUGACGCUGAGGCUCGGAAGCGUGGGGAGCGAACAGG
Molecule: ribosomal RNA, 763 nt
Filed under: uncultured Streptococcus sp.
Lineage: Bacteria; Bacillati; Bacillota; Bacilli; Lactobacillales; Streptococcaceae
Description: bacterial SSU rRNA
Rfam family: Bacterial small subunit ribosomal RNA
Source: RNAcentral